This 111-nucleotide ribosomal RNA is filed under the name Minisyncoccota bacterium. The record is from RNAcentral. Lineage: Bacteria; Bacillati; Minisyncoccota.
UAAGGUGGCAUUGCCACGAGUGCUCCACCCGUUCCCAUCUCGAACACGGAAGUGAAAUCUCGUAGGGCCCAUGAUAGUCGUUUACUCGGCGAAAGUAGGUCGCCGCCUUAC